AGUGAACGCUGGCGGUAGGCCUAACACAUGCAAGUCGAACGGCAGCACAGUAAGAGCUUGCUCUUACGGGUGGCGAGUGGCGGACGGGUGAGGAAUACAUCGGAAUCUACUUUUUCGUGGGGGAUAACGUAGGGAAACUUACGCUAAUACCGCAUACGACCUACGGGUGAAAGCAGGGGAUCUUCGGACCUUGCGCGAUUGAAUGAGCCGAUGUCGGAUUAGCUAGUUGGCGGGGUAAAGGCCCACCAAGGCGACGAUCCGUAGCUGGUCUGAGAGGAUAAUCAGCCACACGGGAACUGAGACACGGUCCAGACUCCUACGGGAGGCAGCAGUGGGGAAUAUUGGACAAGGGGCGCAAGCCUGAUCCAGCCAUACCGCGUGGGUGAAGAAGGCCUUCGGGUUGUAAAGCCCUUUUGUGGGGAAAGAAAAGCAGCAGGUUAAUACCCCGCUGUUCUGAGGGUACCCAAAGAAUAAGCACCGGCUAACUUCGUG
This 492-nucleotide ribosomal RNA is filed under the name uncultured bacterium. RNAcentral's name for it is "partial 16S ribosomal RNA". It matches the Rfam family "Bacterial small subunit ribosomal RNA", at positions 29 to 507 of the family's 1533-position model. The record is from RNAcentral.